Long non-coding RNA from Centruroides sculpturatus (bark scorpion), 348 nucleotides. RefSeq lists it as uncharacterized. The transcript has 3 exons. NCBI's taxonomy places the organism in Eukaryota, Metazoa, Arthropoda, Arachnida, Scorpiones, Buthidae. The record is from RefSeq and is a predicted model, not a curated record.
CUCAUUCUUAGUCUUGAUCUUGCUGUAUCAAGUAGUGCUUUAAUUUUGUGCCUGCAGUUUUGUUGUUUUUUGGAUAUCUGUCAGCCAAUUGUUCCGUUAUAUCCAACUUCAUUGACAAUCUUUUCUCCUAUUAUUGUUGGAGUCCAGUUUUUCAUCUAAUUUUAUCAAAAUGUCUGAUAGUGACGAUAGUUACAUGGCGCUCUCUGAAUGCGGAUCAGAAAGUUAUAUACCAAGCAUAGACGAUUCUAGCAGUUCGGACGAUUCAGGAACAGAUGCCGCUAGAACGUGGUGUGAUGCUGACGCCAUUACUUUUCCAACGCCUCCUCCACGGUUUCCAUUCACUGGAAC